RNAcentral lists this ribosomal RNA (6431 nucleotides) under Chrysoporthe deuterocubensis. The record is from RNAcentral. Lineage: Eukaryota; Fungi; Ascomycota; Sordariomycetes; Diaporthales; Cryphonectriaceae.
AUAGGUGAGUUUGGUGAUGGCUCUGAUUGAACGCUGUCCAAAUGCUUGACACAUGCUAAUCGUACGUUUAAUUUAUAGCUUUUCGGAUAUUGGUAUCUGAGCUCCAUUAUUUUAGGUAGUGGUGUAAUAUUUUAUCCCCUUUGGGUCCCCCUCCUAAUGGAAGGACCAGAAGGGAACAAUAUAUUGAAGGUUUAUUAAAAGUGGUGUACAGGUGAGUGUAAGAUAUUCGGCCGACCUUGAAGAGAGGUAAAAUAAAUACCUCAUAAAUAAAAUAGUUUUUGACAGCUGUUUUUGGAUAAAAGGUGUAAAGCCGCUUUAAGAGGAAAAGGUAUCUGUCGGGAUAGGUAGUAGUUAAGGUAAUGGCUUAACUAGCCAAUAAUUCUCGGAGUCGAAGCUGAAAUGGUUGAUCGACCACAUUGGGAAUGAAAAAAUCCCAAGGCAUAAUUGUACAGCAGUGAGGAAUUUUGGUCAAUGGCCUAACGGCUGAACUGGCAACUUGGAUGAACGGACCGACUCUUACCCAAAGGUUACAUAAUUAUUCUUUUUUAUGUAACUAGUAGGGUAAGAGUGCAGGAGAUCUUUUUUAGGAGUAAAGUUCUAAAUAUAUGUUUGAUAAUGACAAUAUAUAUAUUAUGUCCUGACCAAUUACGUGCCAGCAGUCGCGGUAAUACGUAUGGGACUAGUGUUAUUCAUCUUAAAUAGGUUUAAAGGGUUCCUAGACGGCUAAUGCCACCUUUAAAAGGUAACUAGUUAGCUAGAGUUUUAUGUGAAGAGGUCGUACUUUUGAGUGGAGAGUUUAAAUUUUUUGAUACCUGAAGGACGGAUAAAGGCGAAGGCAACCUCUUAUGUAAAAACUGACGUUGAGGAACGAAGGCAUUGCGUCACGAAAAGGAUUAGGGACCCUAGUAGUCUUUGCAGAAAAUGAUGAGUGCCAUAGAUUAGGUUAAUUCUUGGUCUAUAAAUGAAAGUGUAAGCAUUCCACCUCAAGAGUAAUGCGGCAACGCAGGAACUGAAAUCACUAGACCGUUUCUGACACCAGCAGUGAAGUAUGUGUGCGACAAGAAGCGAAUAUUAGUAAUGUGGUGAGAUUCCAUCAGGUAUUUUCUCUACCUGACACUACCUACACAUGCAAAGCAGUAAUGGUUUGUGUGAAGCUGUAGGGACAAUGUAGCCUACCUUGAAUGGUGAUGCAGAUAGAAAAAUCUUCAGGAGCUAGUGUAAGUAAGACAUGGAAAGCGAAAGUUAAAGUAGCAAUGACGCUUCGUAGUACUAGUCAUAUUGGAAGGUAAUAGGUUCUACAUACUAAUCUAUUAGAGAAACCGUAUUUCCAGCGAAGUAAAGCUACUUUCCUAAAUCUUAUGUUAUUUGUGCUAAUAUUUGAACUUGGUAACUCCUUUAUUUUCAGUAAUGAAUAUAUUCAUUAAAGAGGUAACAUAUAAGGUUAUAUGCUGAAGUUGUUAUAACGAAUAAAGGAGAGAGGAGAAGUUAAAAAGCAAAUGCUUAACUUAGAUUUCAAUUGAAGCGAAUUUAGGUUAUAGAUAAAGACGUAAAGUUAAUGUUAUUGAUAAAAAGUUUAAGGAGGAUAAACUAACGAAAAUGUCAUUAGUUUGAUUUACUCAAGCUACGAUAGAUACCCUGGACGAAAUCUAAUAGAGACAAUAAGCUACGAAGGAUACCUGGACGUGAUCCUACCUUAAUUAAGGUUUGUCUCUAAGUUUUUUAAAUUAAUGCUUAGAUAUAUAAUUGUAUUGUUUGCUUAAAAAUAUUAAGGUUUAUAUUGAAAAAUAAUUUUGAAAUAUUAUGAAAGUUUUAGAUAAAGAAAUUAAAAGUAAAAGCCCUAAUCCUAGUACUACUACAGUUGUAGAUAGCCCUAAAAUAAAUGAUAAUACUAAAGAGAAAAAGUUAAUACUAAAUCCGUGAUUUAUCACAGGACUUGUAGAUGCAGAGGGUAGUUUUGUAGUAAAUAUUGUACAAGAUUCAGGUAGAAGUUUAGGUUUUUUAGUUUUAGCUUAUUUUGAGAUUGCGCUUAAUGAAAAAGAUCGAGAUAUUUUAAUGGGAAUACAAGAAUAUUUAGGUAUUGGUAAUAUAUCUUUCAAUUCAUCUGACAACACUUUUAAAUUAAAAGUGUCAGGUUUAGAUGGUUUGAGUAAUGUAAUUAUUCCACAUUUCCAGCAAUAUUUUUUACUAACUAAAAAACGUAUUGAUUUUGAAUUGUUUAGCCGUGUAGUAAAAAUAAUGAAAGGUGGAGAUCACCUUAACCUUAAUGGUUUACAGGAAAUAGUAAAUAUAAAAGCUUCAUUAAACUUAGGUUUAAGUGAUAAAUUAAAAGCUUAUUUUCCUGAGACCUUACCAGCGGUUAGACCUGAAUUUAAUAUAACAAGUAUUCCUGAUCCAUGAUGAUUAGCAGGAUUUGCUGAAGGUGAGUCUUGUUUUUUUAUUAGAGUUUAUAAAUCAGAAAAGUCUAAACAAGGUUUUGCCGUACAAUUAGCACUUAUAAUAACUCAACAUUCUAGAGAUAAAGAGUUAUUAAAAGUUAUAGCUCAAUUUCUAGGGUGCGGUAGAGUUGAGGAUCGUUCAAAUGGCGGUGCUUGUGAUUUUACAGUGAAUUCUAUUAAGGAUUUUAAAAAUAAAAUUAUACCUUUCUUUAGUAAAUAUCCUCUUUUGGGUACAAAAAGUUUAAACUUUCACGAUUUUGUUAAAGUUUUUGAGUUAAUGAAAACAAAAAAGCAUUUAACAGAAGAAGGCUUAGCUACCAUAAUAAAUAUUAAAUCGGGAAUGAAUACAGGUAGAAAUUCAACUUAGUAUUUAAUAUUUUUGAUAUUAUCAAUAAUAAAAUUUUACGUUUAUUAAGAUUAAAUUCCAGAGUUUAUCUUAAUAUAGCUGACUUAACAUGCGGCAUAAAUUGGCAAAGAAGGGUGGUAGGUAUGUUAGAGUAAACCUUUUUUUGCUUGGGGCGAGGGCUCCUGUAGAAAAUUUAUGUUUGAGCCGUAUGCGAUGAAAGUCGCACGUACGGUUCUUAGAGGGGGAAAGUUCGAGAGGACCUACCUAUCUCAACUGUUUAAUUCGAUGACCCACGAAAAAUCUUACCACAAUUUGAAUAGAAUAGAGUAAUAAAAACCCAAGAGUUUGCCAAAUAUUAUUUUUUUAGUAUGAAUGAUAUCUAAGGUGUUCGUUCAUAGUUAUUAGAAAGGGAAUAUUUGAUCCUUGGAUGUUUUAGAAAGUUUAUUCAUACAAGUGUUGCACGGCUGUUUCCAGUUAAUGUUGUGAAACUGUGGCAAAAGCCAUGGAAUUAACGUAAACCUGAGCUUUAUUUGUGAAUAUAUUAUUUUGAUAAAGCUACAUCAUCUGCUAUAUUGGAUUUGAUAACAGGGACUAAGACAAGUCAUCAUGGCCUGCUGGAUGAUUUAGGAAAUCAUCUAUGUGGGUGAGACUAUCAAACUCCGGGGACAUCCUAAAACUUUUGGUACCAAGCUAUAUAUGAAAAUAUAUUGGUGGGUGGAGUCAUUAUCCAUGUACGGUAAUAAGCCAAAAGAUAAUCGAAAGAGCAAUGGAUUAUCGCGGAUCUAAAUCAAUUAUAAAUUUUAUACCCACAAGCCAAAAUUUUAUAGUUGUAAAAGAGCAACGAGUAGACGGUAGUCAAUGCAGUAAUAAUUUAUUGCGUUUAAGGUGUAUUCUAAUGGGUUUCGAAAGAAAUUAUCAAGUCAAAAUCCUUUCUAACCAAAUAAAUAAUUUAAGAAGGUAUAUUUCAAUCACAACCCACAAGCCAACAAAAACUUCUUCUAGUUUUAAUCCUUGAUUUUUAACAGGAUUUUCUGAUGCUGAAUGUUCUUUUUCUAUAUUAAUUCAGGCUAAUAGUAAAUAUAGUACGGGUUGAAGAAUUAAACCUGUAUUUGCUAUAGGUCUUCAUAAAAAAGAUCUAGAGCUAUGCUAUUAAAAAGAAUUCAAUCUUAUUUAGGGGUAGGUAAAAUUCAUAUUCACGGGAAAGAUUCUAUACAGUUUCGUAUAGAUUCUCCUAAAGAAUUAGAAGUGAUUAUAAAUCACUUUGAAAAUUAUCCACUGGUAACUGCUAAAUGGGCUGAUUAUACUUUAUUUAAGAAAGCUUUGGUUAUAAUUCUACUUAAAGAACAUUUAUCUCGAAAAGGUUUAUUGAAAUUAGUAGGUAUCAAAGCUUCACUUAAUUUAGGUCUUAAUGGUUCUUUAAAAGAAGCCUUUCCUAAUUGAGAAGAGUUACAAAUAGAUAGACCUAGUUAUGUUUUUAAGGGUAUUCCUGAUCCUAAUUGAAUAUCGGGAUUUGCUAGUGGUGAUAGUAGCUUUAAUGUAAAAAUAAGUAACUCUCCUACUAGUUUAUUAAAUAAAAGGGUUCAAUUAAGGUUUGGAAUAGGUUUAAAUAUUAGAGAAAAGGCUUUAAUUCAAUAUUUAGUUGCUUACUUUGAUUUGAGUGAUAAUUUAAAAAACAUUUAUUUUGAUUUAAAUUCUGCUAGAUUUGAAGUUGUGAAAUUUUUAGAUAUAACAGACAAAAUAAUACCUUUUUUUGAUAAAUAUCCAAUACAAGGGAAAAAAAGUUUAGAUUAUAUUAAUUUCAAAGAAGUAGCUGAUAUUAUUAAAAGUAAAAAUCAUUUAACAUCAGAAGGUUUUCAGGAAAUUUUAGAUAUUAAAGCUAGUAUGAAUAAGUAAUUACUAGGAUUGGGUAUAUUUAAUUAUUUUAUUUUUUGUACGAUAAAUUUGAUCGCUAUGUAAUAUUGUGGGCUAAAGACGUGCCACAUAUUCCUUAACAAAGAGAUGCGAAAUAGCGAUAUUGAGCUAAUCUCAAAAAAGAGGGUAAAAAAUAUAUGGAUUGUAGCCUGAAACUCGGCUGCAUGAAUAAGAAAUUGCUAGUAAUCGUGAAUCACCAUGUCACGGUGAAUAAAACCUUGGAUUGGUACUAACCACUCGUCACAUGCUGAAAGGAGUAUGCGCAAUAAGUUUGCUUUCUUAUUUUAAAUCCAUAGUAAUGAUAGGAUUACAUUUUUUUAAUAGGAUUCUUCGUAUGCGUGACUCUAAUUAGUGUUAAGUCGAAAUAUGGUUCGGGUAGUGGAAGUUGCCCGGGGUUGAUUAACCAUUAACAUAGUAUAAGCUGUAUAUGUCCAGGCUCUUUUACUUAGAGAAGCAUAUACACGUUAUUUAAAUUAUUUAUUAUUUAGCGUAAAAGGCUAUGGUACGGGGUGCUAAGCACCCUAAACUCUUUCUCGGUGGCGAGUUGUGGUAGCUUAAAUACAGUUACAGCUGAGGUGUUCGACUCACCUAAGGAGCUCAAGAAAUGCAAAUUAGGUUAUAAAUAUAAAGAGUAGCUUUAUGUUAAUAUGUGUAUUAUCUUUUAAUCCUUUCCAUGCUUUGCUACAAUGAACCUCUCUCAAGACAGUAGAGGAGUUGUGGAUAACUAUAAAUCAAACUAACUGUAAUAUAUUAUUAUAAUAAAUGACUAUAUUUUCAUAUACUUUUACUGAACUAAGAUUUACUUUUUUUAGUUUAGCUUCUAGUAAGAUAAGUUUAGUUCGUAAAUAUGUAACAUUUUCGCCAAUAAAUUCAAGAUUCACAGGUGUAAGAACGUAUUUGAAUUUGGAUAAUCCAAAAUCUGUUCUUAAAGAUAAUAAGGGAAAAUCCGGUGUUUAUCGGUUUGUUAAUUUACUAAAUGGUAAGACAUAUAUAGGAAGUUCUACGGAUUUAUCACGUAGACUAAGAGAUUAUUUUUCAUCCGGUUGAUUAAAAAAGGAGCUCCAAAGAAAUAAGAGUGUAAUAUAUAGAGCUUUGUUGAAAUAUGGAUAUCUUAAUUUUAGGUUAGACAUUUUAGAGUAUUGCGAAAAAUCUGAAUGUAUUAAUCGAGAACAGUAUUAUAUUGAUACAUUAAGCCCUUUUUAUAAUAUUUGUACAAAAGCAGGUUCAUCGUUAGGUCGCUUAACAACUGAUACUACACGUUUUAAAUUAAGAAUGGCUAGAAUGGUUUUAUUACAUAAAAGAAGUAAUAAAAAUUUAAAUCUAGAUGAGUUUAUUGUGGAAUACUUAACUAUGAAGGUUGAUAAGUUAGAGUUAAAAUUGGUCAAAUUACAGAAAGAACUAAAAUCUGUAUUUGAAAAAUCUGUAUUUAAACAAUCAGAUCUUACUCGUUUCAAAAAACUCCAAGCAACUUUAACAGCAGAACCUGUCGCAGUUUUAGACUUAAAUUCAGGAAUAACCAUCAGGUACCCUUCUGCGCGAAAUGCUGCUUUGGCAUUGAAUGCUAGUAAUUCUACUAUUAUGAAUAAAUUAAAAGGUAAGAAUACUAAGCCGUACAAAGGUAGAUAUGUAAUCAGUAAAGCAGGUUUUUCAAAUUAAAUAUGAAUUUUAUAUCAAUAAGUUCAAGGUAAAUAAAUGUAGGAUAUUUUGUAGUGGAAGUUGCACGGGAUUGAUUAGCCAUU